AAAUAUGACCAAAGCGUCUCUUAUUUCGGAAUUAUGAAAAUAUUUUCCCAAGUGUAUAUUUUAAAUGCUGUAUGCGCAUUUUUCAGUUGUUUUGCUGUCGCAGUUCGAGGAAAACAUAUGCACAUGCCUACCUAUGAAUGAAUGUAAAUUUAUGAAGCCCUCGCUCAAUUCAAGUAAAAAACACUUUUCUGAACUCAAACCGUUUCCGAGUCUCGACCGGGAAACACGUAAACUAUACUGAUCCUCUAAAGAAUUGUUUAAUAUACAACAUUCAGUACGAAAACGAUUUUAUUAUAAUUUUUGUCUAUCCCUGAAGACAAUUAAAUAAAAUCAAGAAGCUUUAUGCUGGAAUGUCCUGUUUAGAGAGUGGAACUUGUUGACAUCAAACUUAAUCGCGCACUUAAUUCUAAAAUGAUAAUGAACAGCAAUUCAAACCAGGAACAAUACUUCAGAAGAAAUAUUGCAGGCAAAGUUAAUGCUGCGGCUUGCUCAAGCUAUUCCCAAAAUUUAUUUAUGGGCUAUAAGCUACAAUUAUUUUUCUGGACUGCAGUAGGCUGCUAUGUAUUAGUAUUUUUGAUUUUUCUGGCCAUAUGUAUUUCGAUAUAUGUAUAUUUUUAAAGCUAAUUAAUGCAUUUUAUAAAGUUUCCUAUGUAAACACUUUUAAAUAAAUACGCAAUGCACGAAUCCUA
RNAcentral lists this small RNA (689 nucleotides) under Drosophila yakuba. RNAcentral describes it as "GE27612". The record is from RNAcentral. Lineage: Eukaryota; Metazoa; Arthropoda; Insecta; Diptera; Drosophilidae.